This 443-nucleotide ribosomal RNA is filed under the name uncultured bacterium. RNAcentral describes it as "partial 16S ribosomal RNA". It matches the Rfam family "Bacterial small subunit ribosomal RNA", at positions 338 to 795 of the family's 1533-position model. The record is from RNAcentral.
CCUACGGGAGGCAGCAGUGGGGAAUAUUGGGCAAUGGGCGCAAGCCUGACCCAGCAACGCCGCGUGAAGGAAGAAGGCUUUCGGGUUUUAAACUUCUUUUUUCAUGGACGAAGCAAGUGACAGUACCUGACGAAUAAGCCACCGCUAACUACGGGCCAGCAGCCGCUGUAAUACGUAGGUGGCAAGCGUUAUCCGGAUUUACUGGGUGUAAAGGGCGUGUAGGCGGGACUGCAAGUCAGAUGUGAAAACCACGGGCUCAACCUGUGGCCUGCAUUUGAAACUUGAGUUCUUGAGUACUGGAGAGGCAGACGGAAUGCGUAGUGUAGCGGUGAAAUGCGUAGAUAUUAGGAGGAACACCAGUGGCGAAGGCGGUCUGCUGGACAGCAACUGACGCUGAGGCGCGAAAGCGUGGGGAGCAAACAGGAUUAGAUACCCGAGUAGUC